AGUGAACGCUGGCGGCGUGCUUAACACAUGCAAGUCGAACGAGAACGGAAUAUAGCUUGCUAUAUUUGUCAGCUAAGUGGCGCACGGGUGAGUAAUGUAUAGAUAACCUGCCCUUAAGAGAGGAAUAACAGUUGGAAACGACUGCUAAUGCCCUAUAUGCCUUUAAUACAUAUGUAUGCAAGGGAAACGCUUUAGUGCUUAAGGAUGGGUCUGUAUGGUAUCAGCUUGUUGGUGAGGUAAUGGCUCACCAAGGCUAUGACGCCUAACCGGUUUGAGAGGAUGAGCAGUCACGCUGGAGCUGAGCCCCGGUCCAGACUCCUACGGGAGGCAGCAGUGGGGAAUAUUGAACAAUGGACGAAAGUCUGAUGCAGCAACGCCGCGUGGAGGAUGACACAUUUCGGUGCGUAAACUCCUUUUAUAUAGGAAGAUAAUGACGGUACUAUAUGAAUAAGCACCGGCUAACUCCGUGCCAGCCGCCGCCGUAA
RNAcentral lists this ribosomal RNA (485 nucleotides) under uncultured bacterium. RNAcentral describes it as "partial 16S ribosomal RNA". It matches the Rfam family "Bacterial small subunit ribosomal RNA", at positions 29 to 523 of the family's 1533-position model. The record is from RNAcentral.